CCCCAGUGAAGAAACAUCCACAUGUCUUACCUCCUGUCCUGGUCCCAGAGCCUGAAAAGGUGAACCCACUGGGGCUGGCUGGGGGACAAGAGGAGAGCUUGUUCCAGAAGGAACAGUCUGAGGGAU
RNAcentral lists this small nucleolar RNA (126 nucleotides) under Procavia capensis (Cape rock hyrax). RNAcentral's name for it is "Small nucleolar RNA SNORD22 (ENSPCAG00000019507.1)". It matches the Rfam family "Small nucleolar RNA SNORD22". Rfam says of the family: U22 is a member of the C/D class of snoRNA which contain the C (UGAUGA) and D (CUGA) box motifs. U22 is encoded within the U22 snoRNA host gene (UHG) in mammals and has also been identified in Xenopus. The record is from RNAcentral. Lineage: Eukaryota; Metazoa; Chordata; Mammalia; Hyracoidea; Procaviidae.